UACUGCUAUCGGGGUCCGACUAAGCCAUGCGAGUUGAAUGUCCGAAAGGGCAUAGCGCACUGCUCAGUAACACGUGGACAACCUGCCCUGAGGACUGGAAUAAUCCCGGGAAACUGGGGGUAAUUCCAGAUAUGUCAGAACUCCUGGAAUGGGUUCUGGCAGAAAGGCUCCGGCGCCUCAGGCUGGGUCUGCGGCCUAUCAGGGUAGUAGUGGGUGUAACGUACCUACUAGCCUACGACGGGUACGGGUUGUGAGAGCAAGAGCCCGGAGAUGGAUUCUGAGACAUGAAUCCAGGCCCUACGGGGUGCAGCAGGCGCGAAAACUUUACAAUGCGGGCAACCGCGAUAAGGGGACCUCGAGUGCUGGGUUACAAACCUGCCUGUUGGGCUGCCUAAAAAGCAGUCUAUAGCAAGGGCCGGGCAAGACCGGUGCCAGCCGCCGCGGUAACACCGGCGGCUCGAGUGGUAACCGCUAUUAUUGGGUCUAAAGGGUCUGUAGCCGGCCGACUAAGUCUCUUGGGAAAUCUGGCAUCUCAAGUGUCAGGCUGCCAGGGGAUACUGGUCGGCUUGGGACCGGGAGAGGUGAGAGGUACCUC
Molecule: ribosomal RNA, 595 nt
Filed under: uncultured archaeon
Lineage: Archaea
Description: bacterial SSU rRNA
Rfam family: Archaeal small subunit ribosomal RNA
Source: RNAcentral